CUGCAUCUGAACCCUGGUGCUGGAUACACAGGCAGCAGCCAGCUCUGAGCUUCUGAGAACCUGGUCAUUGAAGGGAUAGUCUCCCGCUAUGCUGGGCCUGGCAGCUAGAAAUCCAGCUGUGCUAGGAGGGGUGAGCAGGGCUCAGUGCACCUGCUCUGCAGAGCAAUGUGGGAGGAGUCAGUGAAGCUGAAGAUGCAUACGUGCCCUGUGAUCUGGGAAUGCCACUCCCAGAAGACUUACUUGUGAUCCAUGCAAGAAUGUUUGUAGCGCCCCAUGAUUUGUAAUGGAAAACAAAAUUGGGAACAAUAGAAAUGUCCAUCUUUGAGAGGAAGAAACUCUGUGAUCACAUGUGGAGAAUGACCAAGUGGUGAAUACGAAUGAACCAGAGCGAGACCUAGUAGCCCGAACGAGCCCAGAUGUCAUGCUGAGUGAGCACAGGAAGAUGCGGGACACAUAGAAGGACAGCGUGUAUGUGUUCAAAGGCAUGCAGAGUGACGACAUAUGCUAUUUAAGGAUGCGUGUGGAUGGAGCAGAAAUGUUAACACACAUGGGAAUAACAAAUCACUACGUCCGAGACAGCGAUUUUGGGGAGCACACAGGGAGGGGACUUCAUCUUGGAGGAACGCACUAUUAGGCUGCCGUGACAGGUGUGUGGGUGUGGACCAUCUCUGUACCUUUGUAUAUGUCUGGAAUAUUGCAUAAUAAGUAAUAGCUUAAGAAAGAGAGAGAGACAGCCAGGGUGUGUGGCUGUGGUGUGUGUUGGGCUUAUUUUUAAUUCUCCCAUACCAGGAAAGGCGGUCUGGGGAGAGAGCGGCGAGCUGGUGUGUACUAAGCCGAUCCCUUGCCAGCCCACACACUUCUGGAACGAUGAGAACGGCAACAAGUACAGGAAGGCGUAUUUCUCCAAAUUCCCAGGUAUCUGGGCUCAUGGCGACUACUGCAGAAUCAACCCCAAGACCGGGGGCAUCAUCAUGCUUGGCCGGAGUGACGGCACCCUCAACCCCAACGGGGUGCGGUUCGGCAGCUCGGAAAUCUAUAACAUUGUAUACGCUCAACGGCAAGAAAGUGGAAGUUGCCGUCAAACAGAUCAUCGCUGGAAAAGCCGUGGAGCAAGGAGGUGCUUUCUCGAACCCCGAGACCCUGGAUCUGUACCGGGACAUCCCUGAGCUGCAGGGCUUCUGAGUCAGACUGGCUGGCGUGUCACUCAGCCGCACCCGUGUGCACUGUAACUUUUGUGUGCUCAAGAAAUUAUACAGAAACCUACAGCUGUUGUAAAAGGAUGCUGGCACCAAGUGUUCUGUAGGCUUGGGGAGGGAUCGUUUCUCUGUUUUGUUAAAUCUGGUGGGUACCUGGAUCUUCCACACGAGUGGGAUUCUGGCCUUCAGAGACCAGGAGGGAGUGUCUGGGCCGCACAUGUGGCACUGUGGUGAGAGUGUGUGUCUUUGCACACACAGUGCAGCGGGAACGGUGGGGCUGGCUGGUGCUGAAGACAGACACACUCCUGAGCCAAGGUCUUGUCUUCAACCUCCCCGUCCCGUUGUCCCAUUUUGCUCUGUGAAGGUGCAAAUCCCUUUCUUCCCUUCCCAUCUCAGGCUCUCCUGUUUUCCCUCAGGGUCCAGUAUGCCUUUGAGCUUUAGCUGUUACAAAGGAACCCCCGUGACUUGACACAGCUUUCACAGCUGGCUGCUAGGACCGGCGGGCUGGGUGUUCACGUGUGUCUGUGUCAUGGAUGCAAUGCAGGCCCUGGAGGACCGUGCGUCACCCGUCAACCAGAGCGUGCCUCCGGGCCAGCUUCCCUCCAAGGAAUGAGUGGAUUUCAUACAGGAUCUCUUUAUUGCACAGACUUUGAAUGGCUUUACAUGUUUCUAAUGUGAAUUAGGCAUGUGAAGCAGUGGGUGUCCACCCGUGUCCCUCAUGGGUGAGCCCUCCAGCUGUAAGCCCAGGCAGUGUGGUCACCGAGUGAGGACCCUCCUCACCAGGAACCGCAUCCCUGUGCUGCCUCCACCUGAGAGUUGCUAGGGGGUUCUUGUCGAGAUCAUGUCAUCAGCACCCCUAAGUCAAGUCACGGGUUUCCAUAGCCAGGCAGUUGGUAUGUACCAUUUAGUUCAGCGUAUGAACUUGUAUCUCUAAUCUGAUGUUCAUUUUUAUAUUUUUUGAAACUGAGCACAAUGAAAUCCUUUCUUGAAUCAUUUUCCUUUUGGAUUAUAAAAAUACGGGGGAAAGUGCCAUGAUGAAUUUUAUGCAAUAAAUGUAUAUAUGUGUGCACAUGCACCC
RNAcentral lists this small RNA (2274 nucleotides) under Pan troglodytes (chimpanzee). RNAcentral's name for it is "retained intron". The record is from RNAcentral. Lineage: Eukaryota; Metazoa; Chordata; Mammalia; Primates; Hominidae.